GGACGUGACUCAGUGGUAGAGUACUCGCCUAGCAUGUGUGAGGCACUGGGUUCAAUCCUCAGCACCA
RNAcentral lists this transfer RNA (67 nucleotides) under Marmota monax (woodchuck). Its description in RNAcentral is "tRNA.Ala". The stretch from base 5 to 63 matches the Rfam family "tRNA", at positions 7 to 64 of the family's 71-position model. Rfam says of the family: Transfer RNA (tRNA) molecules are approximately 80 nucleotides in length. The record is from RNAcentral. Lineage: Eukaryota; Metazoa; Chordata; Mammalia; Rodentia; Sciuridae.